GAAAAAACUAUGAAGGGAAGAGUAGGCUUAACAUUCUAAUUAUAGAGAGCCAGGACUGGUGGAAACUGGUAUUAGAGGUUGAGCUGAAGAUGGCCCCUGAGUUGAAUAGCUGAAAGUUAAGUAGGCUAUUACGGGUUUGUAUCCGUUAAGAAUACAAGGUUAUUAUUGUAACCUAGUGAGGCAUAAGUCGUGAGGCUUGUGUAAAUUAGGGUGGUAACGCGAGUAAAUCCUUCGCCCCUAUA
Molecule: non-coding RNA, 242 nt
Filed under: Caloranaerobacter azorensis
Lineage: Bacteria; Bacillati; Bacillota; Tissierellia; Tissierellales; Thermohalobacteraceae
Description: T-box sequence
Rfam family: T-box leader
About the family: Uncharged tRNA acts as the effector for transcription antitermination of genes in the T-box leader family.
Source: RNAcentral